UACAAUGGAGAGUUUGAUCCUGGCUCAGGAUGAACGCUAGCGGCAGGCCUAAUACAUGCAAGUCGAACGGGUGGUAGCAAUACCACUAGUGGCGCACGGGUGCG
This 104-nucleotide ribosomal RNA is filed under the name Hymenobacter wooponensis. RNAcentral's name for it is "partial 16S ribosomal RNA". It matches the Rfam family "Bacterial small subunit ribosomal RNA", at positions 1 to 110 of the family's 1533-position model. Lineage: Bacteria; Pseudomonadati; Bacteroidota; Cytophagia; Cytophagales; Hymenobacteraceae. The record is from RNAcentral.